This 5501-nucleotide long non-coding RNA is filed under the name Octopus vulgaris (common octopus). The record is from RNAcentral. Lineage: Eukaryota; Metazoa; Mollusca; Cephalopoda; Octopoda; Octopodidae.
UUUAAACCCAAAUUAUUAUGGAUUUGUGAUGGAAUACAUUCUUGGUUUGGCAAUUGCUGAAGGUUCUGCUCAGUGGACAGGUUCAGUUCCACUCUGCAGUACUUUUGGUAUGUGUCUUCGAUUAUAACCCCAAGUUGAUGAAAAUCUUGUGAGUGGAUUUUGUAGAUGAAAGCUUAAAGAAAUCUGACACAUCUACCUGUAUAUCUAUCUAUCUGUCUAUCUACCUGUGCAUCUAUCUGUCUGUCUGUUUAUCUCUAUCAAUCUGUUUCUUUCUCACAAUCUACCUGUGUAUGUGCAUGUGUCUGUGUGUUUAUUUACCUCAACACUCUACAAAAAGUUGUUACAAGUAAUGUUGUUGUUGUUGUUGUUGGUGGUGGUGUUGUCACUUCAGUCAGCAGAUCAUCCUCUAACCUUCAAAGAUGUGAAAUAAGAAAUCCCUUACUUCGAAAACAAGUACGAUGUUGGCAUCAGAAAGGUUGUCUGGCCAUAAAACAAGACUUCUAUGAUAUAUUUAUCUAAUUUGUGCAAAACACUGGCAUAAAACAAAGCAAUGACAAGAUUUCAUGCAAAGGAAAUACCAUUUCUUGUUCUGCAUUUUCUGGCAGAUGACUCCAACUAUUCAGACCCAAAUUCACAGCCAAGAAAAGGUAGAUUGGUUUACAGACCAAAACGAUUUGGAAAGAUAGAAAUGAUAUUUGAAUGUUUACACCCUAUAAUAUGGUGACUUGUAUGCUGGAACUUGUAUGCUAGAUAAAAAAUAAGAAACAUUAGCAUCCCGAAUGAGAAACUUAGUUUUUAAUGUGUCAUAAAAGAACAAAUGGUAAUAAUUAAUUACUGUCUCUUAUUCAAGAAUUAUUUGAAAUGUUUGUUUAGUAAUUGUUUGAUGUUCUUGACAAUAUUAAAAAAAAUGAAAAAGAGAAGUUAACCCCAAAUAUCAAUAAAAAUAUUCAAAGACACAAGGUUCUGAGGUUAAGAAGCUUGCUUCCCAACCACAUGGUUCUGGGUUCAUUCCCACUGCAUAGCACCUUUGGCAAGAGUCUACUAAUAUAUCCCAAGCCAACCAAAGCCUUGUGAGUGGAUCUGCUUAACUGUGUAGAAGCUUGUUGUUUCUAUAUUUUAUAUAUUGGGUCAUCCCAUAAAUAAUGUGGGGUUUUUUCAAUUGUCAGAGGGGGACAGGAUAAAUUGCCUGCAUCAACUUGCCAUAAAAGCAGGUAAUAAUUUUACCUUGUCCUUAUUCUUAGUGCAAGUUUUGAAGAGUGCAGUUCGAUUUUAACAGUUAUUUUUUCAAAGCUAUAAUGGAGAUGACAAAGGAGCAUAUUUGGCAUAUUUUGCCUUAUGAGUUCAAUAAAGGCACAACACAAUGGAAAAUGCAAGGAAUAUUAAUACAGUAUAUGGGGAUUGGUCAAUAAGUGUAGGCCGGUGUCAAUGGUGGUUCCAGAAAUUCUGAGCUGAAAACUGCAGCCUAGAAGACAAGUCUUGUCCUGGAAGAUCUGUCGAGCUCAACGAGGACGUCCUGCAAACCCUGGUGGAACAAUCCCCUUGUAACUGUUGAGAAACUAGCACAAAAGCUUGGAUUUGGUCAUUCAACCAUUCAUCGACGACUGUGUGCCAUUGGAAAAAUCAGCAAAUUGGCUCAGUGGGUUCCUCACAAACUUUCCGGGUCUAAUUGCUUGCAGAGAGGGAAUAUGGGCCCUUCUUUGCUGUCAUGUCUCAUGAAUGAACCUUUUUUGGGCAGAAUAGUUAUUGGUGAUGAGAAAUGGGUUCUCUAUAAAAUGUCAAGUGCCGAAGACAGUGGGUAGGGAAAGGAGAAAUACUGCCACCCCAGGCUAAAGAAAGUCUUCACCCACAUAAGGCAUUAUAUCUGUUUGGUGGGAUAUGGAAGGUUUAGUCCACCAUGAAAUUUUAAACCCAAACCACACAAUAACAAAGGAGAUCUACUGUGAGCAGCUUAAGUCAGUGCUAGAAGAAAAAUGACCAUCUUUGGUUUCAAGAUGAAAGGUGUUCUUCCAUCAGGAUAAUGCUCGGCCACAUACCGUGAGGAUGACAUUCCAAACACUGGAGCAGUUUGAUUGGGAAACAAUGCUCCACCCACCAUAUUUGCCGGACAUUGCCCCAUCUGGUUAUCAUUUAUUCCACAAUCUUUUUGGAUGGAAAAAAUAUGACUUCUGUAGAUGAGGUCAGAACAGUUCUGGAAGAGAAUUUUUCAUCACGGACAAAUGAAUUUUGGAAGAGGAGCCUUGCAAGUCUACCAGAUAGAUGGAAGAGCAUUGUAGAAAAUGAAGGAGAGUAUAUUUUAGAUUAAAAAAGAACUUUGUCUUAAUUUUGAAAAAUAAGAGAAGUAUAAAAAACCACAUUGUUUACGGAAUGAUCCAAUACGUGUGUGUGUGUGUGUGUGUGUGUGUGUGUGCCUUUGUGUUUAUCCCCUACCACUGCUUGACAAACGGUUCAUUUGUUCACGUCAGCAAAAGGGACAGAAUAAGUACUGGGGUCAAUUCAUUUGAUUAAAACUCCUGAAGGUGGCGCCCCAGCAUGGCCACAGUCCAGUGACUAAAACAAAUGGAAGAUGAAAGAUUAAAGGCAAAGUAUUUUAAAAGAAAUAUGGUAACAGAAGUCUGUUCAGCCUGGCAGAUGCUGUGCAUUUAAUAAGGGAAUCCACAACAAGAGCGUUCUUUGAAUUCUGAGCAAACAUUGAAAUAUGUAGAACAGAAGAUUUGUAGUUGGAAUUACUUGGGCCAGGGGCUAAAUGAAGAGGAUUUGGAUGACUUAGUUGAAGGACAUGGAAGAGAACUGUCCAUUGACAAACCUGAGGGAACUUCAUGAAGGAAGUGGCGAAACCAUUGCAAUAUUGACAGGGCUCUUAGAAGGAGCAGAAUCAAUAAGGGGCCAAAUCAAAUCUGAAGGUUUGUCAUCUUUGUCAUGGAUUCACAGACAAUAUGAGAAUGCAUCAUCCUAUCUUAUGAAGGUUUUGAGUCAGGGGGUAACUAAAUGUCAAUUUCAAAUUAUGGCACAAGGCCAGCACUUUCGGAGGAGGGCUGGUACUUGUUUUAUCGACCCUGAAUGGGAUGAAAGGUAAAGUCGACCUCAGCAGAAUUUGGACUCAAAACACGAAGACAAGCAUUUUGUCCAGUGUGCCAACGAUUCUGUCAGUUCAUUGCAUUUCAUCAGGAGAUGAAAUGUUGCAAUAAUUUUGGAGUGUCCAGAAGAAUUGGCUGCAGCCAUUUGUCCUGGAUAAAAUGGUCAACAACUACAAUCUUGUCUCAUUGCUUAUGAUUCUUACAAAAUAUUGAUGUUUCUUCAUUUCCUGGCUCUUUGGCCCUUUGAAAAAGAAAGUAUAUAUUGUGUCAGAAAUAAGUGUUCUGAUCAAAAAAAGAAGUGAAAACGUUUUUCUUUUGGAGAAUAAAUAAAUAAAAUUAUCAAUAAAAGCAAUUUUUAUGAGUGAAAAGUAAGUUUUGUGAAAUUUUUUUGACAAUAAAAGCAAGAAUUUGGUUUCCAAUCGUUGUUUCCAAUCCCUCAGUAUUUAUUAUAAAUCACACACAGAUUUUAAUGUCUUCCAAUAAUUAGUUAAAAUUCAUCAUAAUUAGUCAAACGAGUCAUGGAGUCAAUGAAAUAAGAGUCUGAGGUUGAUGUCUAUCAAUAUAUUUCUUCUUUUUCGUACAAUUCCACAGAGAUUCAGUUUAAUAUUAAUUAACACUUAAAAAGUUAAUUACCUCCAUGUAUGCUGUGUCACACAUCCAAUCAUUCAUGCAAUUAAUGAAUUUUAUUGUACAGAUGUAACAGCAACCUUCAGGACACUGGUCAUUCACACUAAUAAUUAAUGAACAAGAAAUCCAAAUUCCCGUCGCUGCCCAAUUAGUUUACUGGGGCAGCCCUGUUUCACGAUAUCUUCCAGAGUUCAGUAUUAAUAAACUUGUAUCAUUUAUUCUAGGAUUUCAUUUAAUUAUUUAAUUAAAUUUGAUAUUUGUUUAAUUUAGAGGUGACUAAUCCUGGUUUGGAAAAAUCAGUCAUCCAGAUGGCUUUCGAGUCAAAGGUUCUGAAAAGGUGAUGUUGUACCUGUAGUUUUCCCUUGGCGAAAUAUGUUAGGAAUGGCAGUUUCAUGUAAUAAACACUCUUAGCACCCCCGUUUCACACAGGUGUGACUCCUCAUGGAACUGGUCCAAUAAGCAUUCAAAUCUUCACCACAACCAGAACAAAAAACAUAUGAAGAAGGUUGUAAUCUUGGCUGAAAAUUAAUUGUUGUCAACAUCAUUAUUCAAUGUCUGUUUUCCAUGGAUUGGACGGUUUGGUGGGGGUGGGACACCAGGCUCUAGUGCCUGUUUCAACUUGGUUUCUAUGGCUGGAUGCCCUUCCUAACAUGCCAACCACUUGACAGAGUGUCCGCUGGGUGCAUUUUAUGUGACACCAGCACCAACAGUGGGUAGCAGUGACGGGACGAAGGCUUUGUGUUAGCUGAUGAAAGAUUAGACAUAGAGAAACAGGGGUAGGUGUCUUACUGUAGAGUAGAUACAUGGAUUAAGAGAGUAAGGUAAUGAGAGCAUGUGAGGCAGGGAGUGAGAUGUCUUACAUAUUUGUUGUUAAUCUGUCUUUCUGCUAAUAACAAUAACAUUUGAUUGUCUUUUAAGGUGGCCAAGGGCACUGGACAUUUUUUCCUGCUCUCUCCAGGAUUUUGGGGCUAAAUUGGUUGAUUUUUAUAUCCUUUUUUUUCAGGAACAGCUUCAAGUAUUGGUGCACAGUCAACAGUAUUGGAGAGCAUAAAGAUAUUAAAGUUGUCAUUGAGAAAAAGUCAGCUGAACAUGGAGGACUGGAAGCUGUCAGAACAUUGGGGAAGAGUUGUCUGUACCAUGAUGAUUCACACCAGAUAUCCAAAUGCCAACAUCAUCACUGCUGCUCAAUGCUCCAUGAACACUGUAAAGGCUGAAAGACAAGACAUGGACAGCUGCAGUGGAGACUAGGAAGCCAUGACCAGCAAAAAGGUGAUGGUCGUUGGGUGUAAUUCUGGUGAGGGUGUUGUUAUGUUGCCUAAUUCUUUGAACAGGACCUUAGGUUCAACUCGGAUGGCCUUGUGAAGCUGCUGAAAGGUCAUAUGUGUGGCAGCAGGAUUUGGCUCCUUGCCAUACCUUUGGAAAGAAUAAGAAGUAGUUGUUGGGGGAACUUCUACAGCUUUGCCAGCCCCAAUUUCUGGCCUCCUAAUUCCCCUGAUUCAAAUCCCAUGGAUUACUAUGCAUGGGGCACAGUUGAGAAAGGCACCAACUGCUCUGAUCGCAACUACAAGACUGAACUGGUGGCCAAGAUCAAAGAGAUGUUUGAAGAUCUUCUCAGGGACACAGUGAUGAACGCAUGUGCCUGGUUCUGGAGCCGUUUUGAGGUUGAGGUGGAAGGUAGGGACAGCUACUUUGAGUAAACUGUUCUCUCUCUCAGCCAUAACCUAGACCAGUGCUUCUCAAACUAUCUGAUGUGGUGUACCAGCAGUUUUUUUUCCCUAAUGUGCCAGGGACCGGUAAUAU